GGACCCGACUGCUAUCAGAGUGGGACUAAGCCAUGCGAGUCAACAUAGCAAUAUGUGGCAUACGGCUCAGUAACACGUAGUCAACAUGCCCAGGGGACGUGGAUAACCUUGGGAAACUGAGGAUAAACCGCGAUAGGUCAUCACUUUUGGAAUGGGUAAUGACUUAAACCUAUAUGGCCCCUGGAUUGGACUGCGGCCGAUCAGGCUGUUGGCGAGGUAAUGGCCCACCAAACCUGUAACCGGUACGGGCUUUGAGAGGAGGAGCCCGGAGAUGGGCACUGAGACAAGGGCCCCGGCCCUAUGGGGCGCAGCAGGCGCGAAACCUUUGCAAUAGGCGAAAGCUUGACAGGGUUACUUUGAGUGAUUUCCGUUAAGGAGAUCUUUUGGCACCUCUAAAAAUGGUGCAGAAUAAGGGGUGGGCAAGUUUGGUGU
RNAcentral lists this ribosomal RNA (432 nucleotides) under uncultured archaeon. RNAcentral's name for it is "bacterial SSU rRNA". It matches the Rfam family "Archaeal small subunit ribosomal RNA", at positions 19 to 458 of the family's 1478-position model. The record is from RNAcentral.